Long non-coding RNA from Solanum pennellii, 514 nucleotides. RefSeq lists it as uncharacterized. Lineage: Eukaryota; Viridiplantae; Streptophyta; Magnoliopsida; Solanales; Solanaceae. The record is from RefSeq and is a predicted model, not a curated record. The transcript is spliced from 2 exons.
UAUGAGAUAUGUUUAGUAUAACAAACCAAACACCACAAUAACUGCUUACUGCUGUGAUUCUGAUUGAAUUUUCUGCUCCGCUAGAUGUUUUGUCAUCUCGAUUACACUGCAUACUCAGGCAAUCAUGAGAGCUGAUGAUUUAAUACCAACUGCUCCAUAUUCUACUAAAGAUGAAGAGAUCUCCGAUCAAGUGUCUUCAUCUUGUCUUUUUUUAAUACUCUUGUGAAUAAUUGGCUCAUUAUUGUUAUUAUUUCUCCUAAUCUUUUUCAGUAUCAAUGUAUCUGCAUUUUGCCAAAUCUGUUAUUCAUGAAAUCACAUCAGUACUCGGAUAUACUGUUUCAGGUAAGAAUUGUGGUACACCUGAACUUGAGUUUAUAUUUUCCUUCGAUUAGUGGUAUGGGUUUUCUUCUUUCUAGAUUUUUUGGUACACUUGAACUUGAGUUUAAAUAAGUGUGGGUUUUCUUGUUUCUAGAUUUCAACCAGGGUAUAUAGCGGAACACUACAGAUUAACGUU